Molecule: long non-coding RNA, 1192 nt
Organism: Drosophila persimilis
Lineage: Eukaryota; Metazoa; Arthropoda; Insecta; Diptera; Drosophilidae
Exons: 4
Source: RefSeq, a predicted model, not a curated record
UUUUGUAUUAGAUUUUCCCGUGGACGGCCGUUUUAAAGACCGGCGGCGCCCUUUGCCGCAGCUGUGGCCCACUACUCUGCCCUGCCUCAGCCCCCAGACCACCCCGGAUGUGCUCUACGCGGAGUGUUCAUCAACAAAGCAGACCAUCGCUGAAACUGGCCUGGAAACUGGGACACGCACUGGCUACCGGCAAUACCUUCGUCCUAAAGUCAGUCAAUGUGGUGCCUGGUUUCGGUGGAGACGGCGCUGCCCUGCCCAAUCACCCAGAUUGCCUCUUUUAGCUUCCUGGGCGAACUCGCAGAAGCCUCGCAACAUUGCCGUGCAUGCCAUGAAGGCGAGGCGUCUGCUCUUCUCGACAGAUGUCGGGAGCCAUCAGGUCAUCAUUCGGGCCCGAGUCGAAGGCAAUGAGCGUAUGGAGCUGGAAGGAGUCACGGCCUGGACCAACAGUCCGAAAUACUAAUCCCAUUGCAAGCUAAUCGAUGGAAAGAACAAGUGGGAUUGGUGUAAUGGCUGGACGAAAACUGUCAUCGGAGAGCGUCGUUCCGCGGACCUGCAGCGUCUGUCGCAGAUCACCGACAUCCUGCGGCGAAAGUCCUGCGCAAUCACACGUGUCUUCACGGUCGCCCCAAUUGUUUCCACAACUGCUUAGCCAGCGGGGUGUGACACGCAGUCCUCACGACGUCUGCUCUGCUCGUGCCCCAAGCAUCUGAUGCUAUCCGGGAGUAGUGACAUGAACAACGACUGUAUAUCCGUCUUCUGUCGCUGCGAUGGUACCACCUGUGACAACUAUGACAAUGUCCACGAUGAGGCCGACUACUGCAAGCGGCCAAGAGACUUUCAGUGUCCCAUCAACAAAGUGAGUGGAAAGACACGAUAACUGCACAAACCAUAUCGUGCUGCAUGAAUCCCUGCAAACAAAAUACCACCCAAGUAGCAGAGGAACUAUAUGAUAAUUCGAAACGACGGUGUCCUUUUACUUAUGGGAACAUUUUUUGGAAUCCAUAAGCAUCUGUUAAUGAAACAAAACGGAAUGAAAUGCCAAUGUGUCCUUUCACAUAUGGGAAUUUAUAAGAGUUUCGAAGUACAAGUGCAGAAGAUUCAAAAUCUUUGGCACGAUUCGACAGAUCCGCUGCCCCUCGGCCAGUACCGAAUGGGGUUCAUAUAUCCUUCGCUGGCAAAAUAAAAAUCAAAU